AAAAAAAAACACGAGAGGUGGGAAUAGAUUACUUGUGCUGAUGCCUUGUAUUUUUUUACUCCAUAUAUGCACUACUUGAAGGUAGUUUUGUUGAUCUAGGUGGAUUAUGUCUUAUUCUACAAAAGAAAAUAUAUAGCUUUCUGAAAUGUGAUGACUUGCAAUACUGCCUAUAAAUAAAUUAAGAUGGAGUUUUAGAAGCUUCACAUUUUAUAAAUACUUCAGUAAGUUUGCUUCUCGUCAUAUUUGCAGGACAACAAAGAAGCCACAUGUUCAAGUCUCUUCAAGUCUUACUUGAGUGAUCGUGAUGCAAGUUUAAGCCUCUUCAAGUCUUACUAGAGUGGUUCUGAUGCAAGUUCAAGCUUCUUCAAGUCUUACUAGAGUGGUCCUUAUGUAAAAGUUCAAGCCUCUUGAAUGCAAAUAUUUAUUUUUUAUGGUUCUAAUGCAUUUGUGAUGGCACACUGUAGUCUUUCGUGUUCCUUCUUAACACAAGCUAUUGGAAGAAAAUGGUUGAAACUGAUGUUGUUCAGAUCCUUUUGAUCUUGAUCAUUGAAAAUGCACAAUGUGUUGAAUGUACAGACUAAGAUGUGCAUGCUGAUUAUUUGUAAUUUAAACCAUAUGGACGGGUGAAUCCACAUUGAAGAU
RNAcentral lists this long non-coding RNA (642 nucleotides) under Triticum aestivum (bread wheat). RNAcentral's name for it is "long non-coding RNA (TAES_LNC014810)". Lineage: Eukaryota; Viridiplantae; Streptophyta; Magnoliopsida; Poales; Poaceae. The record is from RNAcentral.